This 476-nucleotide ribosomal RNA is filed under the name uncultured bacterium. RNAcentral's name for it is "SSU rRNA". It matches the Rfam family "Bacterial small subunit ribosomal RNA", at positions 26 to 521 of the family's 1533-position model. The record is from RNAcentral.
AGGAUAAACGCUGGCGGCGUGCAUGAGACAUGCAAGUCGAACGGACGAUCAGGGCUUGCUCUGAUCGUUAGUGGCGGACGGCUGAGUAACGCGUAGGUGACCUGCCCCGAAGUGGGGAAUAACUGCCCGAAAGGGUGGCUAAUACCGCAUGUGGUGGUGUGUUCAUUCACACCAGUAAAGCCGCAAGGCGCUUCGGGAGGGGCCUGCGUCCGAUUAGCUCGUUGGUGGGGUAACGGCUCACCAAGGCGACGAUCGGUAGGUGGUCUGAGAGGACGAUCACCCAGACUGGGACUGAGACACGGCCCAGACUCCUACGGGAGGCAGCAGUCGGGAAUUUUGCGCAAUGGACGAAAGUCUGACGCAGCAACGCCGCGUGAGGGAUGAAGGCCUUCGGGUUGUAAACCUCUUUUAUCAGGGAAGAUAAUGACGGUACCUGAUGAAUAAGUCACGGCUAACUACGUGCCAGCAGCCGCGGU